Molecule: ribosomal RNA, 1016 nt
Filed under: uncultured bacterium
Lineage: Bacteria
Description: bacterial SSU rRNA
Rfam family: Bacterial small subunit ribosomal RNA
Source: RNAcentral
AGGAAUAUUGGUCAAUGGGCGCGAGCCUGAACCAGCCAAGUAGCGUGAAGGAUGAAGGUCCUACGGAUUGUAAACUUCUUUUAUACGGGAAUAAAGUGGUCCACGUGUGGAUUUUUGCAUGUACCGUAUGAAUAAGCAUCGGCUAACUCCGUGCCAGCAGCCGCGGUAAUACGGAGGAUGCGAGCGUUAUCCGGAUUUAUUGGGUUUAAAGGGAGCGCAGACGGGGGAUUAAGUCAGUUGUGAAAGUUUGCGGCUCAACCGUAAAAUUGCAGUUGAUACUGGUUCCCUUGAGUGCAGUUGAGGCAGGCGGAAUUCGUGGUGUAGCGGUGAAAUGCAUAGAUAUCACGAAGAACCCCGAUUGCGAAGGCAGCCUGCUAAGCUGUAACUGACGUUGAGGCUCGAAAGUGUGGGUAUCAAACAGGAUUAGAUACCCUGGUAGUCCACACGGUAAACGAUGGAUACUCGCUGUUGGCGAUAUACUGUCAGCGGCCAAGCGAAAGCAUUAAGUAUCCCACCUGGGGAGUACGCCGGCAACGGUGAAACUCAAAGGAAUUGACGGGGGCCCGCACAAGCGGAGGAACAUGUGGUUUAAUUCGAUGAUACGCGAGGAACCUUACCCGGGCUUAAAUUGCAGACGAAUUACCUGGAAACAGGUAAGCCGCAAGGCGUCUGUGAAGGUGCUGCAUGGUUGUCGUCAGCUCGUGCCGUGAGGUGUCGGCUUAAGUGCCAUAACGAGCGCAACCCUCGUGGCCAGUUACUAGCAGGUAACGCUGAGGACUCUGGCCAGACUGCCAUCGUAAGAUGCGAGGAAGGUGGGGAUGACGUCAAAUCAGCACGGCCCUUACGUCCGGGGCUACACACGUGUUACAAUGGGAGGUACAGAAGGCAGCUACCCGGCGACGGGAUGCCAAUCUCCAAAGCCUCUCUCAGUUCGGACUGGAGUCUGCAACCCGACUCCACGAAGCUGGAUUCGCUAGUAAUCGCGCAUCAGCCACGGCGCGGUGAAUACGUUCCCG